AGUGAACGCUGGCGGUAGGCCUAACACAUGCAAGUCGAACGGCAGCACAGGAGAGCUUGCUCUCUGGGUGGCGAGUGGCGGACGGGUGAGGAAUACAUCGGAAUCUACUCUGUCGUGGGGGAUAACGUAGGGAAACUUACGCUAAUACCGCAUACGACCUACGGGUGAAAGCAGGGGAUCUUCGGACCUUGCGCGAUUGAAUGAGCCGAUGUCGGAUUAGCUAGUUGGCGGGGUAAGGGCCCACCAAGGCGACGAUCCGUAGCUGGUCUGAGAGGAUGAUCAGCCACACUGGAACUGAGACACGGUCCAGACUCCUACGGGAGGCAGCAGUGGGGAAUAUUGGACAAUGGGCGCAAGCCUGAUCCAGCCAUACCGCGUGGGUGAAGAAGGCCUUCGGGUUGUAAAGCCCUUUUGUUGGGGAAGAAAUCCAGCUGGCUAAUACCCGGUUGGGAUGACGGUACCCAAAGAAUAAGCACCGGCUAACUUCGUGCCAGCCGCCGCGGUAA
This 506-nucleotide ribosomal RNA is filed under the name uncultured bacterium. Its description in RNAcentral is "partial 16S ribosomal RNA". It matches the Rfam family "Bacterial small subunit ribosomal RNA", at positions 29 to 523 of the family's 1533-position model. The record is from RNAcentral.